GGCCUUAUGGUCUAGUCGUAUGAUUCUCCCUUUGGGUACUCAUUCAAUAUGGGAGAGGUCUCGGGUUCAAUUCCCGAUGAGGCCC
This 85-nucleotide transfer RNA is filed under the name Phakopsora pachyrhizi. Its description in RNAcentral is "tRNA-Pro". It matches the Rfam family "tRNA". Rfam says of the family: Transfer RNA (tRNA) molecules are approximately 80 nucleotides in length. Lineage: Eukaryota; Fungi; Basidiomycota; Pucciniomycetes; Pucciniales; Phakopsoraceae. The record is from RNAcentral.